This 253-nucleotide ribosomal RNA is filed under the name uncultured Desulfovibrio sp. RNAcentral describes it as "partial 16S ribosomal RNA". It matches the Rfam family "Bacterial small subunit ribosomal RNA", at positions 524 to 776 of the family's 1533-position model. The record is from RNAcentral. Lineage: Bacteria; Pseudomonadati; Thermodesulfobacteriota; Desulfovibrionia; Desulfovibrionales; Desulfovibrionaceae.
UACGGAGGGUGCAAGCGUUACUCGGAAUCACUGGGCGUAAAGCGCGCGUAGGCUGUUGUGUAAGUUGGGGGUGAAAUCCCACGGCUCAACCGUGGAACAGCCCUUGAUACUGCGCGACUUGAAUCCGGGAGAGGCAGGCGGAAUUCCGUGUGUAGCGGUGAAAUGCGUAGAUAUACGGAGGAACACCAGUGGCGAAGGCGGCCUGCUGGACAUUAACUGACGCUGAGGCGCGAAAGCGUGGGGAGCAAACAGG